GCGCGAGUAGUAUAGUGGUUAGUAUGCGUGCUUCCCAAGUGCGGAAUCAGCACGAGAGCCGGGUUCGAUUCCCGGCUCGCGCA
Non-coding RNA from Stachybotrys chartarum IBT 40288, 83 nucleotides. Lineage: Eukaryota; Fungi; Ascomycota; Sordariomycetes; Hypocreales; Stachybotryaceae. The record is from Rfam.